GUGGAGUGCGAGUGUCAGAGUUCUGAUGUAGUUAUAAUACAGACUCACUUAAAUAGUGCUGUAAUGUCUGAGUAAUAUCACUAAACUAGGGCUGCACAAUUAAUCAAAAUUUUAGCGAAAUUGCAAUAUGACCUACUGCAAUUUACAAAUUGCAGUAUUUGUUAAAAUCGCAA
Molecule: long non-coding RNA, 173 nt
Organism: Sebastes umbrosus (honeycomb rockfish)
Lineage: Eukaryota; Metazoa; Chordata; Actinopteri; Perciformes; Sebastidae
Exons: 4
Source: RefSeq, a predicted model, not a curated record